GCGCAGCAGUCGAGAAACCUCCGCAAUGCGGGAAACCGCGACGGGGGACCCCGAGUGCCGUGGCAACGCCACGGCUUUUCCGGAGUGUAAAAGCUCCGGGAAUAAGGGCUGGGCAAGGCCGGUGGCAGCCGCCGCGGUAAUACCGGCGGCCCGAGUGGUGGCCGCUAUUAUUGGGCCUAAAGCGUCCGUAGCCGGGCCCGUAAGUCCCUGGCGAAAUCCCACGGCUCAACCGUGGGGCUUGCUGGGGAUACUGCGGGUCUUGGGACCGGGAGAGGCGGGGGGUACCCCUGGGGUAGGGGUGAAAUCCUAUAAUCCCAGGGGGACCGCCAGUGGCGAAGGCGCCCCGCUGGAACGGGUCCGACGGUGAGGGACGAAGGCCAGGGGAGCAAACCGGAUUAGAUACCCGCGUAGU
This 412-nucleotide ribosomal RNA is filed under the name uncultured microorganism. RNAcentral describes it as "bacterial SSU rRNA". It matches the Rfam family "Archaeal small subunit ribosomal RNA", at positions 330 to 745 of the family's 1478-position model. The record is from RNAcentral.